GAUGAACGCUGGCGGCGUGCCUAAUACAUGCAAGUCGAGCGAACAGACGAGGAGCUUGCUCCUCUGACGUUAGCGGCGGACGGGUGAGUAACACGUGGAUAACCUACCUAUAAGACUGGGAUAACUUCGGGAAACCGGAGCUAAUACCGGAUAAUAUAUUGAACCGCAUGGUUCAAUAGUGAAAUACGGUUUUGCGGUCACUUAUAGAUGGAUCCGCGCCGCAUUAGCUAGUUGGUAAGGUAACGGCUUACCAAGGCAACGAUGCGUAGCCGAGCUGAGAGGGUGAUCGGCCACACUGGAACUGAGACACGGUCCAGACUCCUACGGGAGGCAGCAGUAGGGAAUCUUCCGCAAUGGGCGAAAGCCUGACGGAGCAACGCCGCGUGAGUGAUGAAGGUCUUCGGAUCGUAAAACUCUGUUAUUAGGGAAGAACAAAUGUGUAAGUAACUAUGCACGUCUUGACGGUACCUAAUCAGAAAGCCACGGCUAACUACGUG
This 497-nucleotide ribosomal RNA is filed under the name uncultured bacterium. RNAcentral's name for it is "partial 16S ribosomal RNA". It matches the Rfam family "Bacterial small subunit ribosomal RNA", at positions 28 to 507 of the family's 1533-position model. The record is from RNAcentral.